Long non-coding RNA from Betta splendens (Siamese fighting fish), 758 nucleotides. RefSeq lists it as uncharacterized. NCBI's taxonomy places the organism in Eukaryota, Metazoa, Chordata, Actinopteri, Anabantiformes, Osphronemidae. The transcript is spliced from 3 exons. The record is from RefSeq and is a predicted model, not a curated record.
AAUAUAUAAACCCACUGAAACCAAGCUGAAGAUUCAGACUUUGACCAACUCCUGCCUCAACCACAACAGCUGAACCAGCAACCAACCACUCACCAACAAGGGCAACACGUUACAGGGACCAGGCUUCAGCUUCAUAGACUUUCCUUCACUGAAGACAUCUUCACCAUCUCUAACCAGACAAAACGCUGUCACCUGAACCAAAGCUGGUGCAUUAAAAGACCUUGUUCACAUCCUCAGUAAAAGAAGUUAAAGAUGAAGAUUCAAUUUGCUAUUCUGUUUGUGCUGCUUGUUGCCUUUGAGCCCAGUGAUGCUCUGACCUUUAAUGACAAGCAUGUCAUCAACAACCUGGACCCAAAAGAUUGUACUACAGUGAUGAACAAUAGAAAAAUCAAAGAAUACAAUAAAUGCAAGGCAAUAAACACCUUCAUUCUGACAGAUUCCACCACUGUCCAGAACCUCUGUACUAUGAAUGGAAAAGUAACAAGUUAUAAUACUUUUACAGUUGUUAUCUGUAAACAUGACAAAAUAAGCCCAGCUACUGCAUGUGUUUAUAAAGGUGAAAAACCAAUCAAGCAGAAAAUUGUAAUUGAUUGUAAAGCUGGUGUACCUGUCCACUUGUUUGGUACAGUGUAAAUUAUAUGUGCUAGUUAAAUGUACAAACAAUCUUAUAUGUACAUUUAGAAGCCUGUUGUCAAUCACCAAACACUGAAGUGUGUUAAUCCUGCCAAACUCACAAUAAACUCAGCAUGAUCAACUUA